AUUGAACGCUGGCGGCAGGCUUAACACAUGCAAGUCGAGCGGGGAAAUGUAGCUUGCUACAUUACCUAGCGGCGGACGGGUGAGUAAUGCUUAGGAAUCUGCCUAUUAGUGGGGGACAACAUUUCGAAAGGAAUGCUAAUACCGCAUACGCCCUACGGGGGAAAGCAGGGGAUCUUCGGACCUUGCGCUAAUAGAUGAGCCUAAGUCGGAUUAGCUAGUUGGUGGGGUAAAGGCCUACCAAGGCGACGAUCUGUAGCGGGUCUGAGAGGAUGAUCCGCCACACUGGGACUGAGACACGGCCCAGACUCCUACGGGAGGCAGCAGUGGGGAAUAUUGGACAAUGGGGGGAACCCUGAUCCAGCCAUGCCGCGUGUGUGAAGAAGGCCUUUUGGUUGUAAAGCACUUUAAGCGAGGAGGAGGCUACCUAGAUUAAUACUCUGGGAUAGUGGACGUUACUCGCAGAAUAAGCACCGGCUAACUCUGUGCCAGCAGCCGCGGUAAUACAGAGGGUGCAAGCGUUAAUCGGAUUUACUGGGCGUAAAGCGUGCGUAGGUGGCCAAUUAAGUCAAAUGUGAAAUCCCCGAGCUUAACUUGGGAAUUGCAUUCGAUACUGGUUGGCUAGAGUAUGGGAGAGGAUGGUAGAAUUCCAGGUGUAGCGGUGAAAUGCGUAGAGAUCUGGAGGAAUACCGAUGGCGAAAGGCAGCCAUCUGGGCCUAAUACUGACACUGAGGUACGAAAGCAUGGGG
This 746-nucleotide ribosomal RNA is filed under the name uncultured bacterium. RNAcentral's name for it is "bacterial SSU rRNA". It matches the Rfam family "Bacterial small subunit ribosomal RNA", at positions 28 to 766 of the family's 1533-position model. The record is from RNAcentral.